UAGCUCCUCGUUAUAACCAACUGUGUAAACUGAAGGUAGCUUCUGCGUCUUCAGUUGGUGUUUUACUACGCUGUUUGACGAAGCUUCCUUAGCUGCCUAAAAUGUGUUGCAGUGUGUGAUCUAUGAUCGAUUCACUAAGUGUAGGUACUUCUUCCAUAACCAAUAAUAAUCAGUUUUACAUUUCAAGAAAAUGAAACGCGUGCAGCCUGACCUCCUUUAUGAAAGAAACACCACAAUGAGACUCGGAAAGUGAAAAAUGAAUCCUUGUAGUUACAGUUCCUUAAAAAUACAUAGAUUCUAAUAAAUUAUGAUUUUCAACUUGUUGUGAUGCAGGUUGCGUCAUCUUAUGUCUGGUAGAUGUAUUAUGUACUGUACCCGCAAGGGAGCCGUCUGGUAAGUAGGGUUAGUUUCGACGUAACUGGUGUGGUGGCGCUGGCUGUGUUUAAUUAAAAUUGGAAAAUGACAAUUGACAACUAUCUUAACCAUAGCAUCUUGUAGUGUUGUUGCAGGUUUUGUUGGUAAGAUUUUUGAUUAAUAGUAAAGUAGGUACAUAAAUCAAUUGUGAGAUUAGCACGACGCAAAUAAAUUUGGGUUUUAAAUGAUGAAAUUAUUAAGAGUUAUAAUCAUAUUCGUUGAGGGUUAAUUAAAUUAGUGUAUAUAGGUUAGGUUAAUUAAUCUAUUUUGAAUAACUAACUGUAUAUACCUUAAAUGAUUUGACAUCAUUUGAUAUGGUGAUAAUUUUUUUCAGAAAGUGUCACACGAGAUUUGAUCGUAUGAAAAAAAAGUUUAUCACAUUGUAGUCACACAUUUUUUUCUUGUGUAGUUUUUGUUUGAAGAUACAAAUUUAAACUACUUUUUAACCAAAUUCAAAAGGAAUAGAAGAAAACCUACAAAUGAUUUGUUUUUACAUAUAAUUUUACUUGUAAAAUAGGUAGGUAAGUACGUUUUUGAAUUUGUAGUCAGUGAUGCCACCCGUUAGAAAAUUUGUUGCUCAUUUGAGCUUUGUGUUUUAGUUCGAAAGCUGGUUGCACACGAUGAUAAAUUUGUAAAAAAUAUUUCAGGGGUUUGUAUUUAAUUACCUACUGUAGGGCGUAUUGUAAAAACGAUUGUAAUAAUGUGACGAAAAUACCAGUUUUAAUAACAACCACAAAUUUGUGUUUUACUUCAAAUACCAAAUUUCGAUAUAAAUUAAGUCUUUAUUUUAUUUUAGCGUUAUAUGUUGCAGGUAGACAAUAAUUAGAUAUUAAUUACAGUCCUGGAUGUAAGGUAAGGUGAUAAUUUCCCCUAUUUAAUUAAUUUAAGUAUUUCUUGAACUUUUAUUCUUUGUGUAUUGACUACAUAUUGCAUUUCUUUUUUCCGAAUUCGUGCUUUAUAAUUAAAUACGCAGUGUGUUUAGCCCAUGUGUUUUUUACAGGCAAUUUGAAGCUUUUGAAAGCGACGAAAACUUUUCAGGUACAACUAAUAUCUCUGAUGAAAAGUCUCAUUGGAUUCAGCGUAUCGAAUGUUCGCUCGAUCGUAUCGAGGCAAUUUCUGUCUAUUUCUGGUUCACUAAAUGCCUUGAUAUUAUUGGAUAAAAGCAUUUGGAACCUGUUAAAAUAAAUAUUUCCAGCGUUUCAAAGCAAUUCCUACUACGUCUGUCUUUUUGACUACACCAUACCCAUUUUUGUGAAAUAAAUAAAAUUAAAUACGAAACGACCGUAAAUUAUAUUUAUUUCUGUUGUUUUUGGCUGUAUUGUUUUCCUACUUAUGUAUAUGUAUUUUAAAUUACAGUUAAAAUAAUGACUGUUGGGUUGUAGUGGUGAUGCAUGGUAUUUAGAUGUACAGUUCUAUAUUUUUAGGAGACGACUACUAAUUUAUUUUUUCUUUUGUAGAAACGACGCUAGACAUUAACAGUAUUUUCCCUGAUAACGUUAGUAUGCGUCCGUGUAAGGCGCGCAAACAAAGGACCUCUUUUAGUUUUCAAACGUUAGAAAAACUUAACGCUUAUUUUGAAAAAGACCAAUUUCCUUCAGGUUAUGAAUUUAGUAGAAUAGCGGACGAAUUGCAUCUAGAAAAAAGAGUGGUUAGGAUAUGGUUCUGCAAUAAGAGGCAAGCGUUGAGAAAAUCUAAACAAUAGACUAUAUUGCGACUCACUAAUA
Long non-coding RNA from Zophobas morio, 2138 nucleotides. RefSeq lists it as uncharacterized. The record is from RefSeq and is a predicted model, not a curated record. NCBI's taxonomy places the organism in Eukaryota, Metazoa, Arthropoda, Insecta, Coleoptera, Tenebrionidae. The transcript is spliced from 3 exons.